This 214-nucleotide unclassified non-coding RNA is filed under the name soil metagenome. RNAcentral's name for it is "partial internal transcribed spacer 1". The record is from RNAcentral.
CCAAUUCGAACAUGUGGAGGGUGUUUGCAAAAACACCAGCCCAACCAACCCCUGAUUGUGAACUUUGAGAAUUAAAAAUCAAGUCUCCCCUCUGCGUUUUAAUGCGUGGAGGGGAGCAAUUUUUAUCCAACCCCUUGACAAAAUCUGCAUCUCGUAUGCGGAGAAAAAAGCAAGCGUUGAGCUCCGAGAAAAAAAGAAACAAUAAUGUCAUGUA